GACGAACGCUGGCGGCGUGCCUAAUACAUGCAAGUUGAGCGCUGAAGGUUGGUACUUGUACCAACUGGAUGAGCAGCGAACGGGUGAGUAACGCGUGGGGAAUCUGCCUUUGAGCGGGGGACAACAUUUGGAAACGAAUGCUAAUACCGCAUAAAAACUUUAAACACAAGUUUUAAGUUUGAAAGAUGCAAUUGCAUCACUCAAAGAUGAUCCCGCGUUGUAUUAGCUAGUUGGUGAGGUAAAGGCUCACCAAGGCGAUGAUACAUAGCCGACCUGAGAGGGUGAUCGGCCACAUUGGGACUGAGACACGGCCCAAACUCCUACGGGAGGCGGCAGUAGGGAAUCUUCGGCAAUGGACGAAAGUCUGACCGAGCAACGCCGCGUGAGUGAAGAAGGUUUUCGGAUCGUAAAACUCUGUUGGUAGAGAAGAACGUUGGUGAGAGUGGAAAGCUCAUCAAGUGACGGUAACUACACAGAAAGGGACGGCUAACUACGUG
This 497-nucleotide ribosomal RNA is filed under the name uncultured bacterium. RNAcentral's name for it is "partial 16S ribosomal RNA". It matches the Rfam family "Bacterial small subunit ribosomal RNA", at positions 28 to 507 of the family's 1533-position model. The record is from RNAcentral.